RNAcentral lists this ribosomal RNA (786 nucleotides) under Triticum aestivum (bread wheat). RNAcentral's name for it is "partial small subunit ribosomal RNA". Lineage: Eukaryota; Viridiplantae; Streptophyta; Magnoliopsida; Poales; Poaceae. The record is from RNAcentral.
AUGCGUCAAGUACAAGAGCUUCUCGACAAAGGUUAUAUGCGUGAAUCCCUUAGUCCUUGUGUUGUUCCUAUUAUUCUAGUGCCGAAAAAGGAUGGUACAUCGCGUAUGUGUGUUGAUUGUAGAGGCAUUAAUAAUAUUACUAUUCGUUAUCGUCAUCCUAUUCCUAGACUAGAUGAUAUGCUUGAUGAAUUGAGUGGCUCUACAAUAUUCUCCAAAGUUGAUUUGCAUUGUGGAUACCAUCAAAUUCAUAUGAAUUUGGGGGAUGAAUGGAAAACAACAUUUAAAACUAAGUUUGGAUUAUAUGAGUGGUUAGUCAUGCCUUUUGGGUUAACUAAUGCACCUAGUACUUUCAUGAGAUUAAUGAACGAAGUUUUACGUGCUUUCAUUGGACGAUUUGUGGUAGUUUACUUUGAUGACAUAUUGAUUUAUAGAAGAUCUUUGGAAGAACAUUUAGAACAUUUACGUGUUGUUUUUAUUUCUCUACGUGAUGCACGUUUGUUUGGUAACCUUGGGAAGUGCACCUUUUGCACUGAUCGAGUAUCUUUUCUUGGCUAUGUUGCUACUCCACAGGGAAUUAAAGUUGACAAAGCCAAGAUUGAAGCUAUUGAGAGUUGGCCGCAGCCCAAAACGGUCACACAAGUGAGGAGUUUUCUUGGCCUCGCUGGAUUCUAUAGGUGUUUUGUGAGAGAUUUCAGCACCAUUGCUGCACCUCUCAAUGAGCUUACUAAGAAAGAUCUGCCUUUUCUUUGGGGUACCGCACAGGAAGAAGCCUUCACGGUAUUAUAA